CAUCAGAACUCGGGUCAUCUGCGGAGCCUUGGCUGCGGCCCGGUACCUGGGUGUGACUCCGCCACUAACAUUUUCCCAGCAGGAAGCAGCAAGCUCAGCACAGAAAUAAAACUGUCCUGGUGAGUCGCUCACAGCCUGUCCCAGUAACUGUUCCGGAGCGUCAGCCUGACGCAGCACCCCUGAAGGACCACGCCGUGCGGGCUGCGAGCCUCGCCCUUAACCAUGCCCAGCAGGACCAGAGCCGCCAGCACAAAUCAAGGUCCUGGCCAUUGAACAACUUCUGAGCCUGCACUUUAAGAAGGCGCUCUUGUUUUGAAUACGUAGUCUGUCCUGUUCUUUCAAAAAUCUGUACCAGAACAGGUUUUUAGGCCUGGCCGCCAUGGCGUCUCCUUCUAGAAACUCCCAGAGCCGACGCCGGUGCAAGGAGCCGCUCCGAUACAGCUACAACCCCGACCAGUUCCACAACAUGGACCUCAGGGGCGGCCCCCACGAUGGCGUCACCAUUCCCCGCUCCACCAGCGACACUGACCUGGUCACCUCGGACAGUCGCUCCACGCUCAUGGUCAGCAGCUCC
This 574-nucleotide small RNA is filed under the name Pan troglodytes (chimpanzee). RNAcentral describes it as "processed transcript". The record is from RNAcentral. Lineage: Eukaryota; Metazoa; Chordata; Mammalia; Primates; Hominidae.